RNAcentral lists this ribosomal RNA (2601 nucleotides) under Nitrososphaerota archaeon. RNAcentral describes it as "partial 23S ribosomal RNA". It matches the Rfam family "Archaeal large subunit ribosomal RNA", at positions 1 to 2386 of the family's 2987-position model. Lineage: Archaea; Thermoproteati; Nitrososphaerota. The record is from RNAcentral.
UCCGUAAUGCACCGACGCCGUAUGGUGGAUGACUUGGCUUGGGUGGCGACGAAGGACGCGGCAAGCUGCGAAAAGCCCCGGGGAGGCGCACGCAUCCCUUGAUCCGGGGGUCUCCGAAUGGGGUAAAACCCACCGAGAUUGCCGCAAGGCGUCUUGGUGAUCCGAAAGGAUCGCGAACGCUGGGGAAGGAAACAUCUGAGUACCAGCAGGAAGAGAAAUCAACUGAGAUCCCGUUACUAGCGGCGAGCGAAAGCGGGACAGCCCAAACCGAAUCCCCUGGUGAAAGCCAGGGGAGAUGUGGGGUUCGCCUUCAGCGUGUGCGACCCUGGGACCGAUAGCCGAACUCGGCUGGAAAGCCGGAGAACAGAGUGUGAUACUCACGUAGGUCAAUCGGGACCGAGGUCGCGCUGAGGGCAGAGUACCUGGCCUUGGCAGUGGCUAGGGAAGAUGGGGGAAAGCAGCCUCCAAGGCUAAACACUACCCAAGACCGAUAGCAAACUACGUACCGCGAGGGAAAGUUGCAAAGGGCCCCGAAAGGGGUGUGAAAAGAGCCUGAAACCAUACGGUUACAGACGUGCGCGGCAUGGAAGGACCACGAUCCCCGAGCGAGUCCCGCAAGGGGCUCAAUUGGGGGUAAGUGCUCCGGUGUCGCGCAUUCCGUCUAGAANNNNNNNNNNNNNNNNNNNNNNNNNNNNNNNNNNNNNNNNNNNNNNNNNNNNNNNNNNNNNNNNNNNNNNNNNNNNNNNNNNNNNNNNNNNNNNNNNNNNGACCACGAUCCCCGAGCGAGUCCCGCAAGGGGCUCAAUUGGGGGUAAGUGCUCCGGUGUCGCGCAUUCCGUCUAGAAACACGGGCCAGGGAGUUAACUGUCAUGGCGAGCCUAAGGGUUCAAAGCCCGGAGGCGAAGCGAAAGCGAUACUCCGCAAGGCCGCAAGGCCCCAGGGAGGAGGUGUGAAAGUGCCUUUGAGUCAUGGCGGUUUAGACUAGAAACCGAGUGAUCGUGCCCUCGACAAGGUGAAGCCGGGCGAAAGCCUGGUGGAGGCCUGACAGGGUCUUAACGUGCAACUUAGUCCCCUGAUCGGGGGCAAGGGGCCAAAAGCCUAUCUAACUCGGUGAUUGCUAGUUCCCACCGAAGCGGAUCCCAGUCCUGUCUCCGUGGAUGUAGCUCACGCCGUAGAGCACCGAUGAAGAAACAAGGAUUCGAAAGGGUCCACUUCUUUUUCGAACUCCGAAUGUGUGGGCGCAAAAGAAGCGGGGAAGCGGGUUUAUGUGGGGUAAGCCUCAUAACCGAGAGGGGAUUAACCCAGACUGGAGUUAAGGUCCCCAAGUUUAGGCUAAGUGUCAAGCUAAAGGGUGUCCGCGAGCUCAGACAGCAGGGAGGUAGGCUUAGAAGCAGCCAUCCUUCAAAGAUAGCGUAACAGCUCACCUGCCGAGUUUGCAGGCCCCGAAAAUGGACGGGACUAAAGCCUAGCACCGAUACUCCGGACAACCGUUCUGAGAACGGUUUGUGGUAGGUGGGCGUAGAGAUUGGGCGGAAGCCGGGCCGUGAGGUCCGGUGGACCGAUUUCUAGUGCAGAUCCUGGUAGUAGUAGCAGCAUAGUCGGGUGAGAAUCCUGACCGCCGCAAGGGCACGGGUUCCCUGGCAAUGCGUCGUCAGCCAGGGGUUAGCCGAUCCUAAGUGUAUCCUCAACAGGGAAACACGAACCAGGGAAACUGGUUAAAAUUCCAGUGCCUUCGUUUGACCGAUGGGCCGCAAGGCCCGGCAUCGGCUCCGACGCUUCGAGGUAGGACGUGCAGAGUUUAUCGCUCUGUCUAAUCUUCCGAGUCGUGGGGAGUGUCGUAAUGACGAGAACCACGUCGAGGGGAGAAUGGCAGCCCGUUGGGGUUGUUCGCCCAAUCCUCGGAGACCGUGAAAACGGAGCUGGAAAGACCAAGCGAAGUUCGUACCCAGAACCGACACCGGUGCCCCUAGGUAAGAAGCCUAAGGCGUGUCGGGGAACUGUAGGUAAGGGAACUCGGCAAAAUAGUGGCGUACGUUAGCUAGAAGCCAUGCCUGCAUCCUUCAUGAGAAAUGGGGUUUGCAGGUUGCAAUAACAAGGGGGUCCCGACUGUUUACUAAAAACACAGUAAGCCGCAAGUCCGAAAGGAUGUGUACGGCUUAUGAAUCCUGGCCAGUGCAGGUACCUAAAACCUGGGUUCAACUGGGCUAAGGGCCUGUAAACGCCGGGAGUAACUCUGACUCUCUUAAGGUAGCCAAAUGCCUUGUCGGGUAAGUUCCGACGUGCAUGAAUGGACCAACGAGGGCCCCGCUGUCCCUAUCUACGACCCGGCGAACCUACGUAAGGUGGACGAACAGUCCAUCAACUUCCAUCGGGGAGAGAAGUCCCUGUGGAGCUUUACUGCAGCUUGUUGCUGCGAUGCGGUUUUCUUUGCAGAGUGUAGCUGGGAGCCUUCGAAGCGCUGCCUUCGGGUGGCGUGGAGGCACCAAUGUAACACCAGCCUUAGAGGACUGCGUCGCUAACUCCUACGGGAGGACAACGGCAGGUGGGCAGUUCGGCUGGGGCGGCACCCCCUUGAAAAGAUAUCGAGGGGGCCCUAAGGUCG